CACGUAGGGCGCAAGCGUUGUCCGGAAUUAUUGGGCGUAAAGAGCUCGUAGGCGGUCUGUUACGUCUGCUGUGAAAACCCGGGGCUUAACCCUGGGCUUGCAGUGGAUACGGGCAGACUAGAGGCAGGUAGGGGAGAAUGGAAUUCCUGGUGUAGCGGUGAAAUGCGCAGAUAUCAGGAGGAACACCGGUGGCGAAGGCGGGUCUCUGGGCCACUACUGACGCUGAGAAGCGAAAGCAUGGGGAGCGAACAGG
RNAcentral lists this ribosomal RNA (253 nucleotides) under uncultured bacterium. Its description in RNAcentral is "partial 16S ribosomal RNA". It matches the Rfam family "Bacterial small subunit ribosomal RNA", at positions 524 to 776 of the family's 1533-position model. The record is from RNAcentral.